This 253-nucleotide ribosomal RNA is filed under the name uncultured bacterium. RNAcentral's name for it is "partial 16S ribosomal RNA". It matches the Rfam family "Bacterial small subunit ribosomal RNA", at positions 524 to 776 of the family's 1533-position model. The record is from RNAcentral.
UACGUAGGGUGCAAGCGUUAAUCGGAAUUACUGGGCGUAAAACGUGCGCAGGCGGUUUUGUAAGUCUGUCGUGAAAGCCCCGGGCUCAACCUGGGAAUUGCGAUGGAGACUGCAAGGCUUGAAUCUGGCAGAGGGGGGUAGAAUUCCACGUGUAGCAGUGAAAUGCGUAGAGAUGUGGAGGAACACCGAUGGCGAAGGCAGCCCCCUGGGUCAAGAUUGACGCUCAUGCAUGAAAGCGUGGGGAGCAAACAGG